Molecule: unclassified non-coding RNA, 176 nt
Filed under: Roseivivax lentus
Lineage: Bacteria; Pseudomonadati; Pseudomonadota; Alphaproteobacteria; Rhodobacterales; Roseobacteraceae
Description: caulobacter sRNA CC2171
Source: RNAcentral
CAACAUUGAGAAAGGAGGUGAUCCAGUGUCUAGAGAAGCAUUGGAGAGAGGUGUCGGAACAGUUCGGAGGGCCCGGCUCUAGGGCAGCCCCUACAGGCGGAUGACCGUCCGGAUUGGUGAAUGCCUAACCGGUAUCGCCUCCACAUUCUCGAAGGGUCGCCCUCAGGGGCGGCCCU